CCCUUAGAUGUUCUGGGCCGCACGCGCGCUACACUGUUCGACGCAGCGAGUCUUAACCUUGACCGAAAGGUUUGGGUAAUCUUCAGCAAAGUCGAACGUGAUGGGGAUCGAUCAUUGCAAUUAUUGAUCGUGAACGAGGAAUUCCUAGUAAGUGCAAGUCAUCAGCUUGCGCUGAUUACGUCCCUGCCCUUUGUACACACCGCCCGUCGCUACUACCGAUUGAAUGGUUUAGUGAGAUCUCUGGAUUGACGCUGGCUAGGGGGCGACCCUUGGCCAGGCUGUCGAGAAUCUGCUCAAACUUGAUCAUUUAGAGGAAGUAAAAGUCGUAACA
This 331-nucleotide ribosomal RNA is filed under the name uncultured eukaryote. RNAcentral's name for it is "partial 18S ribosomal RNA". It matches the Rfam family "Eukaryotic small subunit ribosomal RNA", at positions 1470 to 1796 of the family's 1831-position model. The record is from RNAcentral.